AAAAAGAUAAGCUAAAAAAGCUACUGGGCUCAUACCCCAUCAAUGAAUUUAAUUCUCUUUUUA
Molecule: transfer RNA, 63 nt
Filed under: Laccoptera nepalensis
Lineage: Eukaryota; Metazoa; Arthropoda; Insecta; Coleoptera; Chrysomelidae
Also listed under: 1 other name
Description: tRNA-Met
Source: RNAcentral